AUCGGAAGAAGAUACCAAGGGCGCACGGCGGAUGCCUUGGCACAGGAAGUCGACGAAGGACGCGGCAAGCUGCGAUAAUCUGCGGGGAGUGGCAAACACACCUUGAUCCGCAGGUCUCCGAAUGGGGGAACCCACCUGGGGCCAUGCCCAGGUACCCCAUCCUGAAUCAGAUAGGGAUGAGGGAGGCAACCGGGGGAACUGAAACAUCUAAGUACCCCGAGGAAGAGAAAUCAACCGAGAUUGCGCGAGUAGCGGCGAGCGAAAGCGCACCAGCCCAAACCCGGGCGCGUGUAAGCGGCAGGCGUUGCCGCCCGGGGGUUGCGGGACGCACGUGCGGGAGCUGCCCUCCCGCGUGAGGUUACAAAUCCACAUGGUAGCGGAACGGCAUGGAAGGGCCGGCCGCAGCGGGUGAGAGCCCCGUACGCGAAACCAUGCGGACCUCAGUUGCGCAUCCCGAGUAGGGCCGGGCACGUGAAACCCGGUCCGAAGCC
RNAcentral lists this ribosomal RNA (491 nucleotides) under Enterorhabdus sp. NM05_H27. RNAcentral's name for it is "partial 23S ribosomal RNA". It matches the Rfam family "Bacterial large subunit ribosomal RNA", at positions 1 to 445 of the family's 2925-position model. The record is from RNAcentral. Lineage: Bacteria; Bacillati; Actinomycetota; Coriobacteriia; Eggerthellales; Eggerthellaceae.